CCUACGGGGGGCAACAGUGGGGAAUAUUGCACAAUGGGGGAAACCCUGAUGCAGCGACGCCGCGUGAGUGAAGAAGUAAUUCGUUAUGUAAAGCUCUAUCAGCAGGGAAGAAAAUGACGGUACCUGAGUAAGAAGCCCCGGCUAACUACGUGCCAGCAGCCGCGGUAAUACGUAGGGGGCAAGCGUUAUCCGGAUUUACUGGGUGUAAAGGGAGCGUAGACGGCAGUGCAAGUCUGGAGUGAAAGGCGGGGGCUCAACCCCCGGACUGCUCUGGAAACUGGACGGCUUGAGUGGAGGAGAGGUAAGUGGAAUUCCUAGUGUAGCGGUGAAAUGCGUAGAUAUUAGGAGGAACACCAGUGGCGAAGGCGGCUUACUGGAGGGUAACUGACGUUGAGGCUCGAAAGCGUGGGGAGCAAACAGGAUUAGAUACCCUAGUAGUC
RNAcentral lists this ribosomal RNA (440 nucleotides) under uncultured bacterium. RNAcentral's name for it is "partial 16S ribosomal RNA". It matches the Rfam family "Bacterial small subunit ribosomal RNA", at positions 338 to 795 of the family's 1533-position model. The record is from RNAcentral.